RNAcentral lists this ribosomal RNA (440 nucleotides) under uncultured bacterium. Its description in RNAcentral is "partial 16S ribosomal RNA". It matches the Rfam family "Bacterial small subunit ribosomal RNA", at positions 338 to 795 of the family's 1533-position model. The record is from RNAcentral.
CCUACGGGUGGCAGCAGUGGGGAAUAUUGCUCAAUGGGGGAAACCCUGAUGCAGCAACGCCGCGUGAGUGAAGAAGGAUUUCGGUAUGUAAAGCCCUAUUAGCAGGGAAGAGAAUGACGGUACCUGACUAAGAAGCACCGGCUAACUACGUGCCAGCAGCCGCGGUAAUACGUAGGGGGCGAGCGUUAUCCGGAUUUACUGGGCGUAAAGGGAGCGUAGACGGGUCUGCAAGUCUGAAGUGAAAGCCUAUGGCUUAACCGCGGAACGGCUUUGGAAACUGUGGAUCUCGAGUAUUGGAGAGGUAAGUGGAAUUCUUGGUGUAGCGGUGAAAUGCGUAGAUAUCAAGAGGAACACCAAUUGCGAAGGCGGCUUGCUGGACAGUAACUGACGCUGAGGCGCGAAAGCGUGGGGAGCAAACAGGAUUAGAUACCCCUGUAGUC